CUUUCUUCUUCUUGUACUUGCUCCCCUUCUUUAGUAAGGGACACUCAGCUCUGAUGUGCCCCGGCUUCUUGCACUCAUAACACCCAAUCCCCUCAUUUUCCCUUUCCUUACCUUUAUCCUUGCGAUAGGAAUUUGAGGGGCCUCUCCUUUGAUGAUAGGACUUCUUGUGGUUGAUGAAUUUUCUGAACUUGCGCACGAGAAGAGCCUCAUCAUCAUCUCCCUC
RNAcentral lists this long non-coding RNA (223 nucleotides) under Phoenix dactylifera (date palm). RNAcentral's name for it is "long non-coding RNA (PDAC_LNC016295)". The record is from RNAcentral. Lineage: Eukaryota; Viridiplantae; Streptophyta; Magnoliopsida; Arecales; Arecaceae.